ACCUGAGGGAUAGCUCAGUAGGUAAAGCAUAAGACCAUUUAUCUCAGGGUCGAGGGUUCAGGCCCCACGUUGGGUG
Non-coding RNA from Podarcis lilfordi (Lilford's wall lizard), 76 nucleotides. Lineage: Eukaryota; Metazoa; Chordata; Lepidosauria; Squamata; Lacertidae. The record is from the annotation of a GenBank genome assembly.